GCGCUGACAAUGAAAAAUGCAUAUUGAAACGUAUCUUAAACUAAAUCUAAUAACCAAAACCAGUUAUCCAUACGUUGAUAAAACGAACAAUAAUAAAUAAAAGGUACAAUAAUAAAUAAAAUGUACAAAAUAAUAAACAAAUAAACAUUUAGAGAAUAAAAGAAAAACGGACGACCUCUGAAGAGAGUUACCUGGAAUAUAAUUCCGAAAGAACUCGAAACAUUGUACACGUAGCACGUAAUCAAUGUAAGGUCGGAAAUGUGAUCCAUACUAUAAACGG
Molecule: long non-coding RNA, 280 nt
Filed under: Mytilus galloprovincialis (Mediterranean mussel)
Lineage: Eukaryota; Metazoa; Mollusca; Bivalvia; Mytilida; Mytilidae
Source: RNAcentral